UACGAAGGGGGCUAGCGUUGCUCGGAAUUACUGGGCGUAAAGCGCACGUAGGCGGCUUUCUAAGUCGGGGGUGAAAUCCUGGAGCUCAACUCCAGAACUGCCUUCGAUACUGGAGAGCUUGAGUCCGGGAGAGGUGAGUGGAACUGCGAGUGUAGAGGUGAAAUUCGUAGAUAUUCGCAAGAACACCAGUGGCGAAGGCGGCUCACUGGCCCGGUACUGACGCUGAGGUGCGAAAGCCAGGGGAGCAAACGGG
RNAcentral lists this ribosomal RNA (253 nucleotides) under uncultured bacterium. Its description in RNAcentral is "partial 16S ribosomal RNA". It matches the Rfam family "Bacterial small subunit ribosomal RNA", at positions 524 to 776 of the family's 1533-position model. The record is from RNAcentral.